This 101-nucleotide ribosomal RNA is filed under the name uncultured bacterium. Its description in RNAcentral is "partial 16S ribosomal RNA". The record is from RNAcentral.
CCUUCGGGUUGUAAAGCUCUUUCGCAAGGGAACAAGAAAGGUUGGAUAACACCCAGCCAAUUUGAUGGUACUUUGUAAAGAAGCACCGGCUAACUCCGUGC